AGAUGCGAUCAUACCAGCACUAAAGCACCGGAUCCCAUUAAAACUCUGAAGUUAAGGCGAGAGUAGUACUAAGAUGGGUGACCUCGUGGGAUGUCCUCGUAAAACUC
This 107-nucleotide ribosomal RNA is filed under the name Oryza punctata. The record is from RNAcentral. Lineage: Eukaryota; Viridiplantae; Streptophyta; Magnoliopsida; Poales; Poaceae.